GGUAAAAUGGCUGAGAUAUAAAUAGGUAAUAAAUUGUAAAUUUAUUAAGAGGAAUUAAUAAUCCUUUUUACCA
RNAcentral lists this transfer RNA (73 nucleotides) under Arria pallida. Its description in RNAcentral is "tRNA-Tyr". Lineage: Eukaryota; Metazoa; Arthropoda; Insecta; Mantodea; Haaniidae. The record is from RNAcentral.